RNAcentral lists this ribosomal RNA (497 nucleotides) under uncultured bacterium. Its description in RNAcentral is "partial 16S ribosomal RNA". It matches the Rfam family "Bacterial small subunit ribosomal RNA", at positions 28 to 507 of the family's 1533-position model. The record is from RNAcentral.
GAUGAACGCUGGCGGCGUGCCUAAUACAUGCAAGUCGAGCGAACGGACGAGAAGCUUGCUUCUCUGAUGUUAGCGGCGGACGGGUGAGUAACACGUGGAUAACCUACCUAUAAGACUGGGAUAACUUCGGGAAACCGGAUCUAAUACCGGAUAAUAUUUUGAACCGCAUGGUUCAAAAGUGAAAGACGGUCUUGCUGUCACUUAUAGAUGGAUCCGCGCUGCAUUAGCUAGUUGGUAAGGUAACGGCUUACCAAGGCAACGAUGCAUAGCCGACCUGAGAGGGUGAGCGGCCACACUGGAACUGAGACACGGUCCAGACUCCUACGGGAGGCAGCAGUAGGGAAUAUUCCGCAAUGGGCGAAAGCCUGACGGAGCAACGCCGCGUGAGUGAUGAAGGUCUUCGGAUCGUAAAACUCUGUUAUUAGGGAAGAACAUAAGUGUAAGUAACUGUGCACAUCUUGACGGUACCUAAACAGAAAGCAACGGCUAACUACGUG